AAAAUAAGACAGAAAAAUAAGGAUCCUGUGUACUGUAAGUGAUAUAUCUAUAUAGAAAAUAGAAACCAGAAUCUUUAAGUACUCCCUUUCCCAUAUAAUCUCUUCCUUAGGUUAUAUUUGGAAGAAAAACAUGAACCAUCUAAUUUCUACUAUUUUAGAAAAUUAAGAGUAGUCCAUUGUAUUCUCUGAAAUCUAGGUGUAAUUUCAAAUAGAACAUAGAACAAAAUAUGAAUGAGGAAAUGGAUUCAAUCAAAUUUAAAAACAUGUUGCAAUAUACUGUUAGUAGAUCAAGUAGAAUGAUUUUGUCUUAUUUGAAUAAGUUAUUACUUACGAGUGAUAACUUGUUUACAUCCUUAUAGGAGAUAAAUUUGGUAAACUUGCCAAUAAUGAAAGAAACCAAAUUAGAAAGUCCUAUGUCCCAGUUUCCUUACAGAAGAUAAUGAAAACAUAUUACAUGAUUCAUAGUUGUUGUUUUUUUUACAGUGAUUACAUAUUAUUGACAAUUGGUUGAAACAUCACAGCCUAGCAUGAUGAACAUUGCCUAAAUAUGUAAGAAAUUUUUCAACUAUUCUUAAAGUUUUGAACCUGGGCUUCAGAGAUCAUAGAGAACAUAUGGAAGGCAGCUGGAAAAACACCAGGUGUUAGAUUGGUGGGGGUCAUGCUGGACUUGGAUUUAGCAACCUUGGCACCUGAGUUCUGGCUAGGACAGAAAUCAGAGCCAACACUUAUUUAUUUAUUUAUAAAAUCACAGAGGUGGAAGAAGUAAUUUGUAGGAGAAAUGGGCUUAUGAAACAAGUUAUAAAGGUAAAGGAAGGGCCCUUGGAGUUUGGGAGUGAGGGAACUAAUGGUAAGUGCCUGGGGACAGCGAAAGGAGAGGGGAAGGCAGGGAGUCCUCCUGGGAGGGAAAGUGCACUGGGUCCUCAUUCUAAAGGUUUUAAGGGUGGAGAUUUUAGGGGAGGUCCCAAGGUAAGAUCUUAACAGAAUAAUUAGCAGUUUUCCAGGUAUGACUUUUCAGGGUCUAGGUCUUCACUGAUUGACUGGUUGGCACCAGGGCAAGCAGUCAUUAUCCAAUGCAGCUGAUUCUCAGGUCAGCCAUGGGGCCACUUGUCUAGUUUUGCUGCUUUUCUGGGCCUGGAGCUGAAAUGCAACUGAGGCCUAGAUGUUACCUCUAGGGAGAAAAGGUCAGGGGAUCCAAACUGUAAGACCAGUGAUAUGUUAGGGGAAGAAAGGUCAUCCAGGGGGUGAGGUCCCACUCUACCAUUGUCCUUUGAUAGGCACCUGGGGCUUUCCACCCUGGUGCCCUUCUGUAUCUGUCCUAUCGUCCUUGCUCUGCUCAUGUCUGUCUAACUGCCUAUCAUCUAAGUAAAAUUAUAUGCAAUAUUUUUCUAUGUGUAUGUAUGCAUGCAUUUUUCUAAGAAAAGUAUCCAUAAUCUUCAACAGAAUAUCAAAGGAAUUUGUGUCUCAAAAGAACCACACAUACCACUGCUAGCUUUUCUUCUUGGCAAGUUAAAAAAUAAAAGGAAUAAUUUUAAACUUUAA
Pipistrellus kuhlii (Kuhl's pipistrelle) is the source of this 1539-nucleotide long non-coding RNA. RefSeq lists it as uncharacterized. The transcript is spliced from 2 exons. The record is from RefSeq and is a predicted model, not a curated record. NCBI's taxonomy places the organism in Eukaryota, Metazoa, Chordata, Mammalia, Chiroptera, Vespertilionidae.